RNAcentral lists this ribosomal RNA (570 nucleotides) under Triticum aestivum (bread wheat). Its description in RNAcentral is "partial small subunit ribosomal RNA". Lineage: Eukaryota; Viridiplantae; Streptophyta; Magnoliopsida; Poales; Poaceae. The record is from RNAcentral.
AUGAUUUUUUGCUUGAUAAUGAUUUGCCAGUCUAACACCAUGCUCAGCAUCAUGUCGCCUUUGAGUACGCCGGAGGAACAGGCACCGAGUUCGCCUUUGAGUACGCCGGAGGAACCGGCACUGUGUUCGCCGGAAUUCUUGGUCCAGAAAAGCACUGUGAGUCCAACGGUGGCUACAACAGAGGUCCCAAAGACGUCUGAUAGAACUCAGGUGGAGGCCAAGGAGAUUCGGCUCUCGGACAUGCCACCAGUAACACUUGAUGAUAGCAACAUGCACACUAAAACAGAUGACACCUCUGAAAUGAACAUUCCAGAGGAUUUCGAUAACCGACCUUCAAAAAAAGCAAAAAAUUCUGAAUCAGGUGUUUUGGAGCCAUCACCAAUGUCAUUCAUGGCGUACAAGGACGAUUUGGAGUGGUCCCUUAGGGUACCGGCGACGGGGUUGUGGAGCAGUCGACGGGCUGUGACACGUGAAUUGAUACCAGGGUCACCAGCGUGCACCCGCGGCAAAGAAAGCGGCCAACAGUGGUCUCAACUAUGGCAAUCAGGAUUUAGGAGAUCGGCUUGGUGA